This is a non-coding RNA of Vicia faba (fava bean), 354 nucleotides long. The record is from the annotation of a GenBank genome assembly. Lineage: Eukaryota; Viridiplantae; Streptophyta; Magnoliopsida; Fabales; Fabaceae.
AUGCUGGCAGAAGUAGAAAGCCAAAAUCAGUACCCUACUAUCAGUAUAUCAAGGCUUUCACAGCUUUAUACCAUGAAGGGUGUGUUUGGAACCAUUAAAAUUCAUGGAUUUUCUCCAUCGGGUGUGUUUGGAACCAUUAAAAUUCAUGGAUUUUCUCCAUCACUAGUGACCAUAUACCUAAAUUGCUGCAGAGUUCCUGAUUUUUUUUUUCUGAUGUCUUGUCACCAGUGUUUUGGCAAUGUGUUUUUGUCUUAUUUUCAUUCAUGCCCAACUCUUUGGAGAUGUAUUGAGUUUCUUUAUAAUUUGAUUGAGAAUAAUAAAGCUAUUGUUAUAUUGAUCAAUUCCUCCAAAUGA